RNAcentral lists this ribosomal RNA (468 nucleotides) under uncultured bacterium. Its description in RNAcentral is "partial 16S ribosomal RNA". It matches the Rfam family "Bacterial small subunit ribosomal RNA", at positions 28 to 507 of the family's 1533-position model. The record is from RNAcentral.
GACGAACGCUGGCGGCGUGCUUAACACAUGCAAGUCGAACGGAAAGGCCCUGCUUUUGUGGGGUGCUCGAGUGGCGAACGGGUGAGUAACACGUGAGUAACCUGCCCCUGUCUUUGGGAUAACUUCAGGAAACUGGGGCUAAAAUCGGAUAUGAUCUCUUGCUGCAUGGUGGGGGAUGGUAAGAUUCGGCGGUUGGGGAUGGACUCGCGGCUUAUCAGCUUGUUGGUGGGGUAGUGGCUUACCAAGGCUUUGACGGAUAGCCGGCCUGAGAGGGUGACCGGCCACAAUGGGACUGAGAGACGGCGCAGACUCCUAAGGGAGGCAGCAGGGGGGAAUAUUGCAGAAUGGGCGGAAGCCUGAUGCAGCAGCGCCGGGUGCGGAAUAACGGCCUUCGGGUUGUAAACCGAUUUCGCCUGUGACGAAGAGUGAGUGACGGUAAUGGAUAAAGAAGCACCGGCUAACUACGUG